AAAUGCAAACCAAGGAGGCUGGAAGAUAAGAGCAGAGCCAUCAGGACCCAAGCCCCUCGGGGGUAUGAAACAGGAGUCCUGGGAGCAACUUAGUAGGUGCACUGUAUGGAGGGACGGAAGGGGCAGGGAGGAGCAUCUGAAUGUAAGAUUUCAGAGAAGCUCAUUUUGUCAGCGUUUCAGAGCUUCCUGUGUGCAGCAUGGAUCUAAAGCUGGUGGAUGCAGGGGGGUGAACAAGACAACAUCUUCACUUCCUGCAUGCUGAUGGCGGAAGUGAGACAUCAGCGAAGAAACAUCACGAUCACCAAAUUAUGAUGAACACCAUGGAGAAAACAAAGGACACUGUGACACCAAGGAAGGAAGGGAAGUUACUUUUCAUAGUGGCUGUAAAUAGAACUGAAGGCUGAAAAAGAGCUGUUAAAAUGGCUUGUUUGAAGAUGAAUGAGAGUAUAUAAUAAAAGGAAAAAAUUUGGACACAGACACACACAGAGGGAUGACCACGUGGAGACGCAGGGAGAGGAUAGCAGCUACAGGCCAGGGCGAGAGGCUUCAGAGGAAACCAGCCCUGCUGACUCUUUGAAGUCGGACUCCCAGCCUCCAGAACUGAACCACCGUCUUCCUUUAUCCCAGGAUGUCUGCAAGGAAGAAAAUGUCCCUUUUCUAGCAUUUAGAGGCCACCAACAUUGAAUAACCACACUGGGAUAGACACAGCGGGGAAAAGAUUCCUGCUGUUCCCAUCACAGCAGCCUUGGAGAUGAGGAGACAGAUGGAUCUGACCAGAAGUCUGGAGAACUUCGAGAAAAAAGGAGGAGGACACAAAGGGAAAUAAGUAAAAAGAUAUGUCUGGAGCAACUAUGAGGAUGGCAAAUUGGUGUCUAAUUCUGAAAAUCAUAAUUGGUAUAAAUGCUAUGCACUGUGGAAGGAGGGAUGAAAGGUAGAGGGAAUAAAAAAGAACAUGAAGUCAGAAUCCUUGGCACGAAAGCCUGCCGUUUAUACAAGCAAACAAACAAGAUCAGAGACUAUCAACAGGCUGGCUGAAUUGGACCAAUAGGCAGGUUUAUUCAGCCCCACACUUCAAAAAUCAGGAGAUCUCCACAUUAAAAUCUGGGAAUCUGACCUUUUGUAACAAAUCAGGGGAUUUGCAACACCAAGAGCAUCAUCACAGGCAACGACCGGCUUGGACGGACAGUGGCUGCCCCUGCAGAUGGGUCAGGUGCUCUUUCAUUGGACACAGUCUCCACCACUCCCUGUUGCUUGCUCCUUGCUCCUUGCUCCCCAUCAGCAUAACUGUUUGGGCCUUAUAGCAUAUGCAUUUGUCACUCCCUACUAGGACAUCCACAACAUGAAAUGAGAGAACAAUUUGGUAAAUUCAACAAAAGGCAUAUUACGCAGCCACCAUACAUUCCUUGUGGAAAGAGAAGUGGCAUAA
This 1426-nucleotide long non-coding RNA is filed under the name Pongo abelii (Sumatran orangutan). RNAcentral's name for it is "lincRNA". Lineage: Eukaryota; Metazoa; Chordata; Mammalia; Primates; Hominidae. The record is from RNAcentral.